Molecule: long non-coding RNA, 559 nt
Filed under: Malus domestica (apple)
Lineage: Eukaryota; Viridiplantae; Streptophyta; Magnoliopsida; Rosales; Rosaceae
Description: long non-coding RNA (MDOM_LNC013946)
Source: RNAcentral
GCCUCACAGCAUAUGCUACUUCUAGUUGAGCAUCUUUUCAGAUUGAGCACCGCCUCAUAUCGAACAUCAGUUCAAGAUAACAUCUAGUUACUUCGGCCCACACAUGGACUGAAUUUCAAGUCUCCAGCCAAAAUACUCUCUUGACUGAAGACUUGGGGGGCUACUGUUUAUACCAUAUUUAGGGCCUCAUAUUUAGAUCUUGUACGAAUACUCGAGGGACUUAAAUGUAAUGAUAUGAUAAAAGAAAGGGCAAAUAUGUAAUAAGUGAGGGGUUAUUAUUCUAUAAAAGGACCCCUCACCAUCACAAUUAGGGGGGUCUUAUUCUCAUCCUGAGAGGUCAUCCGAGACCUCACUCUCUCCCUCAGAGGCCCUGAAUCUCUCUCCCUCACUCCUCUCACAUCUCAGAUAAAUACAUAAUCAGUGUGGACGUUGCCCAAACUUUGGGGUGAACCACGAUCCAUCUUGUGAUAUUUACUUUCAUGCAGAUUCACGGUCGGAUUUACGUUGUUCUAAGACCAUCUGGUUUUGUGCAUCAACAAAUGUUUUGCGUUUACGGCGG